RNAcentral lists this transfer RNA (73 nucleotides) under Planctomycetota bacterium. RNAcentral describes it as "Planctomycetes bacterium (groundwater metagenome) tRNA-Glu". It matches the Rfam family "tRNA". Rfam says of the family: Transfer RNA (tRNA) molecules are approximately 80 nucleotides in length. Their secondary structure includes four short double-helical elements and three loops (D, anti-codon, and T loops). Lineage: Bacteria; Pseudomonadati; Planctomycetota. The record is from RNAcentral.
GGCCCCGUCGUCUAGUGGCCCAGGACACCGGCUUUUCACGCCGGCAACACGAGUUCGAAUCUCGUCGGGGUCA